UACGGAGGGUGCGAGCGUUGUCCGGAAUCACUGGGCGUAAAGGGCGCGUAGGCGGUUUGGUAAGCGUGCGGUGAAAGCCCGGGGCUCAACCCCGGGUCUGCCGUGCGAACUGCUGGACUAGAGCACUGUAGAGGCAGGUGGAAUUCCGAGUGUAGCGGUGGAAUGCGUAGAGAUUCGGAGGAACACCAGUGGCGAAGGCGGCCUGCUGGGCAGUAGCUGACGCUGAGGCGCGACAGCGUGGGGAGCAAACAGG
Molecule: ribosomal RNA, 253 nt
Filed under: uncultured bacterium
Lineage: Bacteria
Description: partial 16S ribosomal RNA
Rfam family: Bacterial small subunit ribosomal RNA
Source: RNAcentral